UACGGAGGGAGCUAGCGUUGUUCGGAAUUACUGGGCGUAAAGCGCACGUAGGCGGCUUUGCAAGUCAGAGGUGAAAGCCUGGAGCUCAACUCCAGAAUUGCCUUUGAGACUGCAUCGCUUGAACACGGGAGAGGUGAGUGGAAUUCCGAGUGUAGAGGUGAAAUUCGUAGAUAUUCGCAAGAACACCAGUGGCGAAGGCGGCUCACUGGCCCGAUACUGACGCUGAGGCACGAAAGCGUGGGGAGCAAACAGG
This 253-nucleotide ribosomal RNA is filed under the name uncultured bacterium. RNAcentral describes it as "partial 16S ribosomal RNA". It matches the Rfam family "Bacterial small subunit ribosomal RNA", at positions 524 to 776 of the family's 1533-position model. The record is from RNAcentral.